Molecule: long non-coding RNA, 2324 nt
Organism: Triticum aestivum (bread wheat)
Lineage: Eukaryota; Viridiplantae; Streptophyta; Magnoliopsida; Poales; Poaceae
Exons: 4
Source: RefSeq, a predicted model, not a curated record
CUCCCCGUCCCCAACCCCAACCUCCCUAUUCCUCUCGAUUCCUCCCACACUGGCCGCCGCCCCUCGUCAGACAUUGUGACUCCUUUACGCGGCAGCGACCUACAUGCCGGCGCGCCGCUCGUCACCACUCCCCUGCGACCCUCCAUCCCGGCGCGCAGUCCCUCGUCACCACUCCCCCGCGACCCUGGAUCCCGGCGCGCCGCUAGUCACCACUCCCCUGCGACCCUCCAUCCCGGCGCGCAGUCCCUCAUCACCACUCCCCUGCAACCCUGGAUCCCGGCGCGCCGCCCCUCGUCACCGCUUCCCUGCGACCAACGGCGAAUCCAAGUUUCUAGCGAAAAUAUCUGAAGAUCCUUACUAGUUUCCAGUGAUGUUCUAUCCUAUUAAGCAAGAGUCUUCAAGGUGGUAGUUCAGUUCAACACUUCUGAUCUCCGUGUCCGGCGCCCCAUGCUCCAACCUUGGACUUGUUCCCAGGGUCAUGAAUGGACGUGCCCAGUUUCAGCAAAGUACGCGCACGAAUGCUGAUUCAUUCAUGCGCCUUCCUGCCUUUCUGAUGCCGUUUUCGUCCAAUAACAUUUUCGGCAGGGGUAAUGAUCGAGCCUCGCUAUACUAUGCAAAUUUAUAUGCUUUAAACAACAAUGAAGUGCAACAAUUAAUUUAACACAACAUAUAAGUGAUUGUAAUUCAAGUUGAAUAUCACGCACUAUAAAUACAUGGCUUUUACAAUUGUAUAUCUUAACUUAGUCUACAUGGCUUGCAGUGCACAUGCUGCAGCCAGGGUAUGUAUAUGGUUUCUUAUGUAAUACCAUGUUGGCUUUGAAACUGAGCAGAAUUAUUUAUUUUCCUUUUUAAUGGUUAGUUAUUGAUUUAUAUUUUGCAAAUUGCUAUCUUUUCCCUUCUGAAAUAAAAGCUGAUCUUCAAGUUCUGUUAGUCAGAUAUGAUUAUUAUGUAUGACUAUAUCAGCAGCAAGGUGUUUUUAGUACCAAAUGAUGAAUAUUUCAACCACUAUUUGGCGGUAAGUUAGAUGCUUUCCCUUACUUCCCAAAAAUAAUAUAGGUACUUCUGUUACAGUUGGGAGCUGAUGUAUUGUUAUCCCAGUAUGGUGGCCAAUACAAAUUAUAUUCUAUAUUCGUGUGCACACUGAGACCAAAUAAAUCAUAAUUGUAUUAUCUUUUUUUGGCCUUUGUGGUAACAUGGUAUCUCGUUGUAUCCUGUUUAAAAAAUCAUGAGAAAUAUUUUAAUAUUACUAGUUUGCUUUUUCAACUAAAAAGGAUAUUGGUAUUGUCGUUAUCGUUAGUUCAGGACACGGUGCUUCCAUAGGUGUAUUUUUUCAGGUACUAUUACACACUAAAAGUUGGGAACAAGUUCUAUUCUGCCUAUUAUAUUUAUGAAGUAUGGAUAGAACAGACAUUCUUGUUUUGCAAAUCCCAUACGGAAAGGGAAAGGACAAACUAGAUACAAGGAUACAGAUGUUCUUGUUUUGCAAGUUCUAUUCUGCCUAUUUUUCAGUAUUAUGAGCCUGUACUCAUGAAGUAUGCUGCAAGGAAAUACGCGCCUACAAGUUGCCCCUAUAAGAUUAAUAUACUGUUUUAGCUAUUCCACUAUAAAUUAUUUACUCUUUUAGCAAUUUCAAUAUAAAUUAUUUUGGUUUGCCCAAUAAGAUUUUCCUAGAACAGUAUGCACACUAUUGAUUUGCAACCAUCCUUUUCUGGGUCCAGAGUUGUUCGUCACCCACAAAAUAUUUACUCAUCAUUAUUUGUGCCAUUUGUAAAAUGGAUGUCACCAUGUAUCACAAAAAAAAUGUUGUUAUAUUGUAUUUGCAGCACACAAAUUAUCACGAUUUGUUUUCAGUUUCAAAGAAAAUAAAUAUUUACUUGGGCUAACUAGCAUGUGUACCAGUUCAGGUAUGUGGCAUGCAAGCAGAGGAGAGGAUGAACUUGACAAUUACCAAUACUACUUCAUAUUUGAUUUGACAAGAUGCAAAAGAUAAAUGGACGAUUAUAUGGGUGUGUGGCAAGUAUACUGCAAUGAUGAUAAUUUUGUUCCUGUUGUUGUUGAUGAUGAUGAUGAUGAUGAUGAUGAUGAUGACGACGACGAUGAUGAUGGAUGCUUUCAGUUUUAGUUAAGUUGUAGGGAUGAUGUUCAUGUUGGCUGAUGUUCCUCGGUUAAGUUUUAGAUAAGUUGUAGGGAUGUGAUGGAUGCUUUCAGUCUAAAUUUGCUACCAAGAAAAUAUUUAGAUUAUACAUCACAUUAGAUGGUGUUCCUCCUGUAAUAUCCACUAUUGUAAUCCAACAAUUUUAUCAAAUAUAUGAUUUAUUCGUCUA